CCUACGGGGGGCAGCAGUGGGGAAUAUUGGACAAUGGGGGGAACCCUGAUCCAGCCAUGCCGCGUGUGUGAAGAAGGCCCUCGGGUUGUAAAGCACUUUCAGUGAGGAAGAACGCCUGGUGGUUAAUACCCAUCAGGAAAGACAUCACUCACAGAAGAAGCACCGGCUAACUCCGUGCCAGCAGCCGCGGUAAUACGGAGGGUGCGAGCGUUAAUCGGAAUUGCUGGGCGUAAAGCGCGCGUAGGUGGCUUGAUAAGCCGGUUGUGAAAGCCCCGGGCUCAACCUGGGAACGGCAUCCGGAACUGUCAAGCUAGAGUGCAGGAGAGGAAGGUAGAAUUCCCGGUGUAGCGGUGAAAUGCGUAGAGAUCGGGAGGAAUACCAGUGGCGAAGGCGGCCUUCUGGACUGACACUGACACUGAGGUGCGAAAGCGUGGGUAGCAAACAGGAUUAGAUACCCGAGUAGUC
This 465-nucleotide ribosomal RNA is filed under the name Vreelandella stevensii. RNAcentral describes it as "partial 16S ribosomal RNA". It matches the Rfam family "Bacterial small subunit ribosomal RNA", at positions 338 to 795 of the family's 1533-position model. Lineage: Bacteria; Pseudomonadati; Pseudomonadota; Gammaproteobacteria; Oceanospirillales; Halomonadaceae. The record is from RNAcentral.